UCUACGGGAGGCAGCAGUGGGGAAUAUUGGACAAUGGGCGCAAGCCUGAUCCAGCCAUGCCGCGUGAGUGAUGAAGGCCUUAGGGUUGUAAAGCUCUUUCGGCGGGGAAGAUAAUGACGGUACCCGCAGAAGAAGCCCCGGCUAACUUCGUGCCAGCAGCCGCGGUAAUA
This 170-nucleotide ribosomal RNA is filed under the name uncultured Alphaproteobacteria bacterium. RNAcentral's name for it is "partial 16S ribosomal RNA". It matches the Rfam family "Bacterial small subunit ribosomal RNA", at positions 338 to 525 of the family's 1533-position model. Lineage: Bacteria; Pseudomonadati; Pseudomonadota; Alphaproteobacteria. The record is from RNAcentral.